AACGAACGCUGGCGGCAUGCCUAACACAUGCAAGUCGAACGAGACCUUCGGGUCUAGUGGCGCACGGGUGCGUAACGCGUGGGAACCUGCCUUUAGGUUCGGAAUAACUCAGAGAAAUUUGAGCUAAUACCGGAUGAUGUCUUCGGACCAAAAGAUUUAUCGCCUUUAGAUGGGCCCGCGUAAGAUUAGCUAGUUGGUGGGGUAAAGGCCUACCAAGGCGACGAUCUUUAGCUGGUCUGAGAGGAUGAUCAGCCACACUGGGACUGAGACACGGCCCAGACUCCUACGGGAGGCAGCAGUGGGGAAUAUUGGACAAUGGGCGAAAGCCUGAUCCAGCAAUGCCGCGUGAGUGAUGAAGGCCUUAGGGGUCGUAAAAGGCUCUUUUACCCGAGAUGAU
This 397-nucleotide ribosomal RNA is filed under the name uncultured bacterium. Its description in RNAcentral is "bacterial SSU rRNA". It matches the Rfam family "Bacterial small subunit ribosomal RNA", at positions 29 to 449 of the family's 1533-position model. The record is from RNAcentral.